AUUCUCCGGUUUAUCUUCAGAUCGAAUAAAUCUUUUUUGACUUACUAAAGAUUUCCGUGGAGAGGAAUAACUGAGUUUUCAAUUUUUUUUUUAGGUUCUACAUUGUAGUGC
Small nuclear RNA from Bombina bombina (fire-bellied toad), 111 nucleotides. RefSeq annotates it as U5 spliceosomal RNA. The record is from RefSeq and is a predicted model, not a curated record. The transcript has a single exon. Lineage: Eukaryota; Metazoa; Chordata; Amphibia; Anura; Bombinatoridae.